Molecule: long non-coding RNA, 1345 nt
Organism: Bufo bufo (common toad)
Lineage: Eukaryota; Metazoa; Chordata; Amphibia; Anura; Bufonidae
Exons: 3
Source: RefSeq, a predicted model, not a curated record
CACCACUUUACCCUUAUGAAGGCACUGUUGCUAUGUUUAUGAGGUCCUGGAGGCACUGUUAUGGGGUCACUCUGGGAAUCACUGAUGUGAGGUCACAGUUAUGGGGUCACUCUGGGAUUGCAGGAUUGAGGGCACUGUUAUGGGGCACCACUUUACCCUUAUGAAGGCACUGUUGCUAUGUUUAUGAGGUCCUGGAGGCACUGUUAUGGGGUCACUCUGGGAAUCACUGAUGUGAGGUCACAGUUAUGGGGUCACUCUGGGAAUCACUGAUGUGAGGUCACAGUUAUGGGGUCACUCUGGGAUUGCAGGAUUGAGGGCACUGUUAUGGGGCACCACUUUACCCUUAUGAAGGCACUGUUGCUAUGUUUAUGAGGUCCUGGAGGCACUGUUAUGGGGGCACUCUGGGAAUCACUGAUGUGAGGUGACGGGUCACUGUUAUGGUGUCACUCUGGGAUUGCAGGAUUGAGGGCACUGUUAUGGGGCACCACUUUACCCUUAUGAAGGCACUGUUGCUAUGUUUAUGAGGUCCUGGAGGCACUGUUAUGGGGUCACUCUGGGAAUCACUGAUGUGAGGUCACUGUUAUGGGGUCACUCUGGGAUUGCAGAUUUGAGGGCACUGUUAUGGGGCAACCCUUUACCCCUAUGGAGGCACUGUUGCUAUGUCUAUGAGGUCCUGGAGGCACUGUUAUGGGGGCACUCUGGGAAUCACUGAUGUGAGGUGACGGGUCACUGUUAUGGGGUCACUCUGGGAUUGCAGAUUUGAGGGCACUGUUAUGGGGCAACCCUUUACCCCUAUGGAGGCACUGUUGCUAUGUCUAUGAGGUCCUUGAGGCACUGUUAUGGGGUCACUGGGAUUGCAGAUUUGAGGGCACUGUUAUGGGGCAACCCUUUGCCUUUAUGGAGGCACUGUUGCUGUCUUAAUGAGGUCAUGGAGGCACUGUUAUAAGACUGGGGUCACUAUUAUGGGGGACACUCUAGGAUUUCAGAUUUGAGGGCACUGUUAUGGGGCAACCCUUUACCCUCUGUGGAGGCACUGUUGCUCUCUUUAUGAGGUCAGGGGGGGGCACUGUGGGAUCGCUGAUAUGAAGUCAUUGUUAUGGGGCACUGGUUGCCAUUAUGAUGAGGGUCAUGGAGACACUGUUAUUGGGGCACACUGGGGUCAUUGUUAUGGCGGAACUCAAGUAUAUUUUUUUUAGGAAAGCUCUGGCUGUAUCUUAAGGGGGUACUCUGGCGUUAUGGUGCAUGAUGUCUGCCGCUGUUAUGGGGGAACUCUUGCUCUUAGGCAUUCACGUACCAAGCAGUCUAUAUUUAACAACAGCCUUAAAGGGGUUGUCCCAUCUCAGAC